UUCCGCUGACGACCGGCGCACGGGUGCGUAACGCGUAUACAAUCUACCUUUUGCUGUGGGAUAGCCUUUGGAAACGAAGAUUAAUACCGCAUAGUAUGCAGACUUCUCAUGAAGAUUGCAUUAAAGGUUACGGCAGAAGAUGAGUAUGCGUCCUAUUAGCUAGUUGGUGUGGUAACGGCACACCAAGGCCACGAUAGGUAGGGGCCCUGAGAGGGGGAUCCCCCACACUGGUACUGAGACACGGACCAGACUCCUACGGGAGGCAGCAGUGAGGAAUAUUGGACAAUGGAGGCAACUCUGAUCCAGCCAUGCCGCGUGCAGGAAGACUGCCCUAUGGGUUGUAAACUGCUUUUAUACGGGAAGAAACACUGCUACGUGUAGCAGCUUGACGGUACCGUAAGAAUAAGGAUCGGCUAACUCCGUGCCAGCAGCCGCGGUAAUACGGAGGAUCCAAGCGUUAUCCGGAAUCAUUGGGUUUAAAGGGUCCGUAGGUGGAUGAUUAAGUCAGAGGUGAAAGUCUGCAGCUCAACUGUAGAAUUGCCUUUGAUACUGGUUAUCUUGAAUUAUUAUGAAGUAGUUAGAAUAUGUAGUGUAGCGGUGAAAUGCAUAGAUAUUACAUAGAAUACCAAUUGCGA
Molecule: ribosomal RNA, 635 nt
Filed under: Flaviramulus aestuariivivens
Lineage: Bacteria; Pseudomonadati; Bacteroidota; Flavobacteriia; Flavobacteriales; Flavobacteriaceae
Description: bacterial SSU rRNA
Rfam family: Bacterial small subunit ribosomal RNA
Source: RNAcentral